CCUUUUGUAUAAUGGGUCAGCGACUUAUAUUCUGUAGCAAGGUUAACCGAAUAGGGGAGCCGAAGGGAAACCGAGUCUUAACUGGGCGUUAAGUUGCAGGGUAUAGACCCGAAACCCGGUGAUCUAGCCAUGGGCAGGUUGAAGGUUGGGUAACACUAACUGGAGGACCGAACCGACUAAUGUUGAAAAAUUAGCGGAUGACUUGUGGCUGGGGGUGAAAGGCCAAUCAAACCGGGAGAUAGCUGGUUCUCCCCGAAAGCUAUUUAGGUAGCGCCUCGUGAAUUCAUCUCCGGGGGUAGAGCACUGUUUCGGCAAGGGGGUCAUCCCGACUUACCAACCCGAUGCAAACUGCGAAUACCGGAGAAUGUUAUCACGGGAGACACACGGCGGGUGCUAACGUCCGUCGUGAAGAGGGAAACAACCCAGACCGCCAGCUAAGGUCCCAAAGUCAUGGUUAAGUGGGAAACGAUGUGGGAAGGCCCAGACAGCCAGGAUGUUGGCUUAGAAGCAGCCAUCAUUUAAAGAAAGCGUAAUAGCUCACUGGUCGAGUCGGCCUGCGCGGAAGAUGUAACGGGGCUAAACCAUGCACCGAAGCUGCGGCAGCGACGCUGAUGCGUUGUUGGGUAGGGGAGCGUUCUGUAAGCCUGCGAAGGUGUGCUGUGAGGCAUGCUGGAGGUAUCAGAAGUGCGAAUGCUGACAUAAGUAACGAUAAAGCGGGUGAAAAGCCCGCUCGCCGGAAGACCAAGGGUUCCUGUCCAACGUUAAUCGGGGCAGGGUGAGUCGACCCCUAAGGCGAGGCCGAAAGGCGUAGUCGAUGGGAAACAGGUUAAUAUUCCUGUACUUGGUGUUACUGCGAAGGGGGGACGGAGAAGGCUAUGUUGGCCGGGCGACGGUUGUCCCGGUUUAAGCGUGUAGGCUGGUUUUCCAGGCAAAUCCGGAAAAUCAAGGCUGAGGCGUGAUGACGAGGCACUACGGUGCUGAAGCAACAAAUGCCCUGCUUCCAGGAAAAGCCUCUAAGCAUCAGGUAACAUCAAAUCGUACCCCAAACCGACACAGGUGGUCAGGUAGAGAAUACCAAGGCGCUUGAGAGAACUCGGGUGAAGGAACUAGGCAAAAUGGUGCCGUAACUUCGGGAGAAGGCACGCUGAUAUGUAGGUGAAGUCCCUCGCGGAUGGAGCUGAAAUCAGUCGAAGAUACCAGCUGGCUGCAACUGUUUAUUAAAAACACAGCACUGUGCAAACACGAAAGUGGACGUAUACGGUGUGACGCCUGCCCGGUGCCGGAAGGUUAAUUGAUGGGGUUAGCCGCAAGGCGAAGCUCUUGAUCGAAGCCCCGGUAAACGGCGGCCGUAACUAUAACGGUCCUAAGGUAGCGAAAUUCCUUGUCGGGUAAGUUCCGACCUGCACGAAUGGCGUAAUGAUGGCCAGGCUGUCUCCACCCGAGACUCAGUGAAAUUGAACUCGCUGUGAAGAUGCAGUGUACCCGCGGCAAGACGGAAAGACCCCGUGAACCUUUACUAUAGCUUGACACUGAACAUUGAGCCUUGAUGUGUAGGAUAGGUGGGAGGCUUAGAAGUGUGGACGCCAGUCUGCAUGGAGCCGACCUUGAAAUACCACCCUUUAAUGUUUGAUGUUCUAACGUUGACCCGUAAUCCGGGUUGCGGACAGUGUCUGGUGGGUAGUUUGACUGGGGCGGUCUCCUCCUAAAGAGUAACGGAGGAGCACGAAGGUUGGCUAAUCCUGGUCGGACAUCAGGAGGUUAGUGCAAUGGCAUAAGCCAGCUUGACUGCGAGCGUGACGGCGCGAGCAGGUGCGAAAGCAGGUCAUAGUGAUCCGGUGGUUCUGAAUGGAAGGGCCAUCGCUCAACGGAUAAAAGGUACUCCGGGGAUAACAGGCUGAUACCGCCCAAGAGUUCAUAUCGACGGCGGUGUUUGGCACCUCGAUGUCGGCUCAUCACAUCCUGGGGCUGAAGUAGGUCCCAAGGGUAUGGCUGUUCGCCAUUUAAAGUGGUACGCGAGCUGGGUUUAGAACGUCGUGAGACAGUUCGGUCCCUAUCUGCCGUGGGCGCUGGAGAACUGAGGGGGGCUGCUCCUAGUACGAGAGGACCGGAGUGGACGCAUCACUGGUGUUCGGGUUGUCAUGCCAAUGGCACUGCCCGGUAGCUAAAUGCGGAAGAGAUAAGUGCUGAAAGCAUCUAAGCACGAAACUUGCC
RNAcentral lists this ribosomal RNA (2211 nucleotides) under Escherichia coli. RNAcentral's name for it is "bacterial LSU rRNA". It matches the Rfam family "Bacterial large subunit ribosomal RNA", at positions 604 to 2798 of the family's 2925-position model. Lineage: Bacteria; Pseudomonadati; Pseudomonadota; Gammaproteobacteria; Enterobacterales; Enterobacteriaceae. The record is from RNAcentral.